AGAGUUUGAUCCUGGCUCAGGAUGAACGCUGGCGGCGUGCCUAACACAUGCAAGUCGAACGGAUCCGUACUGAAACCUAGAGAUGUAUGGAUUAAUGGCGGACGGGUGAGUAACACGUGGAUAACCUGCCGGAUACACGGGGAUAACACUUAGAAAUAAGUGCUAAUACCGCAUAAUCGCACCGUUCCACAUGGAACGGUGUGAAAAACUCCGGUGGAAUACUAUGGAUCCGCAUCAGAUUCCCCAGUUGGAGGGGUAACGGCCCACCAAAGCGACCAUCAGUAGCCAGCAUGAGAGGGUGAACUGACACGUUGGAACUGCAACACGGCACAGACUCCUACGGCAGGCACCUAUGGGAAAUAUUGCACAGUGAGGUAAACCCUGAUGCAACAACCCCACCCGACUGAACAACUAUUUCGAAAAAUUAUUCUCUAUUAUCAAGCAAUAAAAACCGGCCUUAAGGACGCCAGACGGUACCUGACUAAGAAGCCCCGGCUAACUACGUGCCAGCAGCCGCGGUAAUACGUAGGGGGCAAGCGUUAUCCGGAUUUACUGGGUGUAAAGGGAGCGUAGACGGCAGCGCAAGUCUGGGGUGAAAUGCCGGGGCCCAACCCCGGAACCGCUUUGGAAACUGUGCAGCUCGAGUGCAGGAGAGGUAAGCGGAAUUCCUAGUGUAGCGGUGAAAUGCGUAGAUAUUAGGAGGAACACCAGUGGCGAAGGCGGCUUACUGGACUGUAACUGACGUUGAGGCUCGAAAGCGUGGGGAGCAAACAGGAUUAGAUACCCUGGUAGUCCACGCCGUAAACGAUGAUUCUUAGGUGUGGGGGGGCCAAGCCCCUCCGGUCCCCGCGCAAAGGCAUUAAGUAAUCCACCUGGGGAGUACGUUGGCAAGAAUGAAACUCAAAGGAAUGGACGGGGACCCGCACAAGCGGUGGAGCAUGUGGUUUAUUUGGAAGCAACGCGAAGACCCUUACCUGGUCUUGACAUCCCGGUGGCAAGUGAGCAAUGUCACUGUUCCUUCGGGACACCGGAGACAGGUGGUGCAUGGUUGUCGUCAGCUCGUGUCGUGAGAUGUUGGGUUAAGUCCCGCAACGAGCGCAACCCCUUUUUCCAGUAGCCAGCAUUCAGGAUGGGCACUCUGGAGAGACUGCCCGGGAUAACCGGGAGGAAGGCGGGGAUGACGUCAAAUCAUCAUGCCCCUUAUGACCAGGGCUACACACGUGCUACAAUGGCGUAAACAAAGGGAGGCAAAGCGGUGACGCCAGGCAAAUCCCAAAAAUAACGUCCCAGUUCGGAUUGUAGUCUGCAACUCGACUACAUGAAGCUGGAAUCGCUAGUAAUCGCGAAUCAGAAUGUCGCGGUGAAUACGUUCCCGGGUCUUGUACUCACCGCCCGUCA
Molecule: ribosomal RNA, 1398 nt
Filed under: uncultured bacterium
Lineage: Bacteria
Description: 16S ribosomal RNA
Rfam family: Bacterial small subunit ribosomal RNA
Source: RNAcentral